GACCUGCUGGUUCAAGGUGGAUGGUGAUGAUAAUGAUAGCCGGUAGAACUUGAUAGUUUUAACCUCAAGGCUGUGGGUUCAAGCCCCAUGCUGGGCA
Molecule: non-coding RNA, 97 nt
Organism: Podarcis lilfordi (Lilford's wall lizard)
Lineage: Eukaryota; Metazoa; Chordata; Lepidosauria; Squamata; Lacertidae
Source: the annotation of a GenBank genome assembly